CGCCUUUCUCCAGGGAGUGGAUUUGCUCUCCCAAGAGCCGGUCGUUGGGCAGCAAGGCCGGCCCUCAUGUGUUGCGCCUUUCACAGGCCUUUCUGCAGCCUGCACAAGAUACAGAGCGAGGCAGCACCAGGAGCAGAGUGGGUGCUGGCUUCCCGCGCUAACGCUCUGUGGAGAUGGAACUGGGAGAGGAAAUCAGUGCAGCCCAGGCGGUCCUUCAGUGUUUGGAAUCUGCUCUGA
RNAcentral lists this long non-coding RNA (237 nucleotides) under Chinchilla lanigera (long-tailed chinchilla). RNAcentral's name for it is "lncRNA (ENSCLAG00000025446.1)". The record is from RNAcentral. Lineage: Eukaryota; Metazoa; Chordata; Mammalia; Rodentia; Chinchillidae.